This 77-nucleotide transfer RNA is filed under the name Actinomycetes bacterium. Its description in RNAcentral is "tRNA-Pro". It matches the Rfam family "tRNA". Rfam says of the family: Transfer RNA (tRNA) molecules are approximately 80 nucleotides in length. The record is from RNAcentral. Lineage: Bacteria; Bacillati; Actinomycetota; Actinomycetes. RNAcentral also lists the same sequence under 8 other names.
CGGGAAGUGGCGCAGCUUGGUAGCGCACCUGCUUUGGGAGCAGGGGGUCGCAGGUUCAAAUCCUGUCUUCCCGACCA